UACGUAGGGGGCUAGCGUUGUCCGGAAUCAUUGGGCGUAAAGAGCGUGUAGGCGGUCCGGUAAGUCCGCUGUGAAAGUCGGGGGCUCAACCCUCGAAUGCCGGUGGAUACUGUCGGGCUAGAGUUCGGCAGGGGAGACUGGAAUUCCUGGUGUAGCGGUGAAAUGCGCAGAUAUCAGGAGGAACACCGGUGGCGAAGGCGGGUCUCUGGGCAGUAACUGACGCUGAGGAGCGAAAGCGUGGGGAGCGAACAGG
Molecule: ribosomal RNA, 253 nt
Filed under: uncultured bacterium
Lineage: Bacteria
Description: partial 16S ribosomal RNA
Rfam family: Bacterial small subunit ribosomal RNA
Source: RNAcentral